GAUGAAGAACGCAGCGAAAUGCGAUAAGUAAUGUGAAUUGCAGAAUUCAGUGAAUCAUCGAAUCUUUGAACGCACAUUGCGCCCCCUGGUAUUCCGGGGGGCAUGCCUGUUCGAGCGUCAUUUCACCACUCAAGCCUCGCUUGGUAUUGGGCAACGCGGUCCACCGCGUGCCUCAAAUCGACCGGCUGGGUCUUCUGUCCCCUAAGCGUUGUGGAAACUAUUCGCUAAAGGGUGUUCGGGAGGCUACGCCGUAAAACAACCCCAUUUCUAAGGUUGACCUCGGAUCAGGUAGGGAUACCCGCUGAACUUAAGCAUAUCAAUAAGCGGAGGA
This 331-nucleotide unclassified non-coding RNA is filed under the name soil metagenome. RNAcentral describes it as "partial contains 5.8S ribosomal RNA, internal transcribed spacer 2, and large subunit ribosomal RNA". The stretch from base 1 to 120 matches the Rfam family "5.8S ribosomal RNA", at positions 35 to 154 of the family's 154-position model. The record is from RNAcentral.